CUAUUUUUAUAGUGUGACGGUGUGCCUGUUGAAGAAUGAGCCGGCGAGUUACCUUGUGUAGUUAGGUUAAGCGGUUAAUACGCGAAGCCAUAGAGAAAUCGAGUCUGAUAAGGGCGUUAAAUUACAUGAGGUAGACCCGAACCUAGGUGAUCUAGGCAUGGCCAGGAUGAAGCGCAUGUAACAGUGCGUAGAGGUCCGAACCAACCGAUGUUGAAAAAUCGGUGGAUGAGCUGUGUUUAGGGGUGAAAUGCCAAUCGAACCUAGAGCUAGCUGGUUCUCCCCGAAAGGCGUUUAGGCACCGCGUCGGAUUUAUCUUAUGGGGGGUAGAGCACUAGUUCGGUGCGGGCGGAGAAAAUCCGUACCAAAUCGAGUUAAACUCCGAAUACCCAUAAUGUUAUUGUCCGGCAGUGAGACAGUGAGAGAUAAGUUCCAUUGUCGAGAGGGAAACAGCCCAGACCGCCGACUAAGGACCCAAAGAACAUGCUAAGUGGUUAAGGAGGUGGAGUUGCAUAGACAACCAGGAUGUUGGCUUAGAAGCAGCCACCAUUCAAAGAAAGCGUAAUAGCUCACUGGUCAAGCGACUCUGCGCCGAAAACGUAUGGGACUAAGCAUGUCUCCGAAAUCGCGGGAAUAGUAUUUAUACUGUUCAGUAGGGGAGCGUUGUGUUGUAGGCUGAAGUGAGAGCGUAAGCACUCAUGGACGAACCACAAGUGAGAAUGUCGGCUUAAGUAGCGAAAACAUUGGUGAGAAUCCAAUGCACCGGAAGACUAAGGGUUCCUGCACAAGGCUCGUCCUUGCAGGGUUAGUCGGGGACUAAGGCGAGGCCGAAAGGCGUAGUCGAUGUACAACAGGUUGAUAUUCCUGUACUACGGCUCUAUCGUUAUCAGAAGCGGGGUGACGCAGUAGGCUAUAUGCGCCAGUCUGGUGGAUUGACUGGUCUAAGCGUGUAGGGAGUCCGUGUAGGCAAAUCCGCACGGGCGUUAGUCCUGAGACGUUACGGGGAGGCACCACGGUGUCGAAGGCAUAGAGGCCACACUGCCAAGAAAACCCUCGCUAUCGAGAUAGUUCCGUAUCCGUACUGUAAACCGCCACAGGUGGGUGGGUAGAGAAUACCAAGGCGCGCGAGAUAACUCUCUCUAAGGAACUCGGCAAAAUAGCCUCGUACCUUCGGAAGAAGAGGUACCCUGGUACCGUAAAGGCUCUAUACGGGCCCGAGCGGGAUAGGGUCGCAGUGAAAUGUCCCAGGCGACUGUUUACCAAAAACACAGGUCUGUGCUAAGUCGUAAGACGAUGUAUACAGGCUGACGCCUGCCCAGUGUCGGAAGGUUACGUGGACCGGUUAGCGCUUUGCGCGAAGCUGGGAAACUAAGCCCCGAUGAACGGCGGCCGUAACUAUAACGGUCCUAAGGUAGCGAAAUUCCUUGUCAGGUAAGUUCUGACCCGCACGAAUGGCGUAACGAUCUGGGAACUGUCUCGGAGAGAGACUCGGUGAAAUAGGAAUGGCUGUGAAGAUACGGCCUACGCAUGCCAGGACAGAAAGACCCUAUUGAGCUUUACUCUACCUAGUCAUUGAGAUUUGAUUUUAGUUGCGCAGGAUAGGUGGGAGACUUUGAAGCUUGGGCUCCGGCCCUUGCUGAGUCGUCCUUGAGAUACCACUCUUCUAACGUUGGAUUUCUAACGGGUGUCCACUAACAUCUGGAAUCCGGACAGUGACUGGCGGGGAGUUUGACUGGGG
This 1735-nucleotide ribosomal RNA is filed under the name Phycisphaerales bacterium. Its description in RNAcentral is "partial 23S ribosomal RNA". It matches the Rfam family "Bacterial large subunit ribosomal RNA", at positions 580 to 2279 of the family's 2925-position model. The record is from RNAcentral. Lineage: Bacteria; Pseudomonadati; Planctomycetota; Phycisphaerae; Phycisphaerales.